UACGUAGGGUGCAAGCGUUAAUCGGAAUUACUGGGCGUAAAGCGUGCGCAGGCGGUGAUGUAAGUCAGGUCUGAAAUCCCCGGGCUUAACCUGGGAACUGCAUUUGUGACUGCAUCGCUGGAGUGCGGCAGAGGGGGAUGGAAUUCCGCGUGUAGCAGUGAAAUGCGUAGAUAUGCGGAGGAACACCGAUGGCGAAGGCAAUCCCCUGGGCCUGCACUGACGCUCAUGCACGAAAGCGUGGGGAGCAAACAGG
This 253-nucleotide ribosomal RNA is filed under the name uncultured bacterium. RNAcentral describes it as "partial 16S ribosomal RNA". It matches the Rfam family "Bacterial small subunit ribosomal RNA", at positions 524 to 776 of the family's 1533-position model. The record is from RNAcentral.